This 945-nucleotide ribosomal RNA is filed under the name uncultured bacterium. RNAcentral's name for it is "bacterial SSU rRNA". It matches the Rfam family "Bacterial small subunit ribosomal RNA", at positions 9 to 935 of the family's 1533-position model. The record is from RNAcentral.
GAGUUUGAUCAUGGCUCACCCUUUNACGCUGGCGGCAGGCCUAACACAUGCAAGUCGGACGGUUACAGGAUUAGCUUGCUAAUUGCUGACGAGUAGCGGACGGGUGAGUAAUACUUAGGGAUCUGCCUUUGUGAGGGGGAUAACCAUUGGAAACGAUGGCUAAUACCGCAUAAUGCCUACGGACCAAAGGGGGCUUUUAGCUCUCGCACGAAGAGGAACCUAAGCGAGAUUAGCUAGUUGGUGGGGUAAAGGCUCACCAAGGCGACGAUCUCUAGCUGUUCUGAGAGGAAGAUCAGCCACACUGGGACUGAGACACGGCCCAGACUCCUACGGGAGGCAGCAGUGGGGAAUAUUGCACAAUGGGGGAAACCCUGAUGCAGCCAUGCCGCGUGUGUGAAGAAGGCCUUCGGGUUGUAAAGCACUUUCAGUCGUGAGGAAAGGUUGGUAGUUAAUACCUGCCAACUAUGACGUUAGCGACAGAAGAAGCACCGGCUAACUCCGUGCCAGCAGCCGCGGUAAUACGGAGGGUGCGAGCGUUAAUCGGAAUUACUGGGCGUAAAGCGCACGCAGGCGGUUUGUUAAGCUAGAUGUGAAAGCCCCGGGCUCAACCUGGGAGGGUCAUUUAGAACUGGCAGACUANAGUCUUGGAGAGGGGAGUGGAAUUCCAGGUGUAGCGGUGAAAUGCGUAGAGAUCUGGAGGAACAUCGGUGGCGAAGGCGACUCCCUGGCCAAAGACUGACGCUCAUGUGCGAAAGUGUGGGUAGCGAACAGGAUUAGAUACCCUGGUAGUCCACACCCGUAAAACGCUGUCUACUAGCUGUUUUGUGUAUUUAANACGUGAGUAGCGAANCUUAACGCGCUUAGUAAACCCGCCUGGGGGAGUUCCGGCCGCCAGGUUAAAAACUUCAAAUGGAAUUUGACCNGGGGGCCCGCCACAAAGCGGGU